UGUAUUGUUUAAUUUUUCUUAGUUUUUUAACUAAAAUAGUUUGGCAGUGAGCGAUUCUUAUUAGGGGAAGGUGUGUUGUAAAGGAUGAUCCGCCUAUUAAUUUACUUUUAUUAUGUUGGUGUAUAUCUGGUUUAAUAUUAUUGUUUAAUAACUGAAUUUGUGUAUAUUUAUUUAAGCCAAGUCUAUGUGCUGCUUGUAAAAGAUUUCAUGCGUUACAUUUAUAUUUAUAUUAUGAAAAUUUAAUUUUUAAUUAGGACUUAAAAGUAAUAUAGAAUGAUUUUGUCUAUG
Molecule: ribosomal RNA, 288 nt
Filed under: Mesocestoides litteratus
Lineage: Eukaryota; Metazoa; Platyhelminthes; Cestoda; Cyclophyllidea; Mesocestoididae
Description: partial 12S ribosomal RNA
Source: RNAcentral